UCCGUAGGGUGCAAGCGUUAUCCGGAAUUAUUGGGCGUAAAGAGCUCGUAGGCGGUUUGUCGCGUCUGCUGUGAAAACCGGAGGCUCAACCUCCGGCCUGCAGUGGGUACGGGCAAACUAGAGUGCGGUAGGGGAGAUUGGAAUUCCUGGUGUAGCGGUGGAAUGCGCAGAUAUCAGGAGGAACACCGAUGGCGAAGGCAGAUCUCUGGGCCGUAACUGACGCUGAGGAGCGAAAGCUAGGGGAGCGAACGGG
This 253-nucleotide ribosomal RNA is filed under the name uncultured bacterium. RNAcentral describes it as "partial 16S ribosomal RNA". It matches the Rfam family "Bacterial small subunit ribosomal RNA", at positions 524 to 776 of the family's 1533-position model. The record is from RNAcentral.